Molecule: ribosomal RNA, 429 nt
Filed under: Actinomycetes bacterium
Lineage: Bacteria; Bacillati; Actinomycetota; Actinomycetes
Description: Actinobacteria bacterium partial 16S ribosomal RNA
Rfam family: Bacterial small subunit ribosomal RNA
Source: RNAcentral
UAGGGAAUCUUCCGCAAUGGGCGAAAGCCUGACGGAGCAACGCCGCGUGAGUGAUGAAGGUCUUCGGAUCGCAAAACUCCGUUAUUAGGGAAGACCAAAUGUGUAAGUAACUAUGCACGUCUUGACGGUACCUACUCAGAAAGCCACGGCUAACUACGUGCCAGCAGCCGCGGUAAUACGUAGGUGGCAAGCGUUAUCCGGAAUUUUUGAGCGUAAAGCGCGCGUAGGCGGUGUUUUAAGUCUGAUGUGAAAGCCCACGGCUCAACCGGGGAGGGUCAUUGGAAACUGGAAAACUUGAGUGCAGAAGAGGGAAGUGGAAUUCCAUGUGUAGCGGUGAAAUGCGCAGAGAUAUGGAGGAACACCAGUGGCGAAGGCGACUUAAUGAUCUGUAACUGACGCUGAUGUGCGAAAGCGUGGAGAUCAAACAGG